This 986-nucleotide ribosomal RNA is filed under the name uncultured bacterium. Its description in RNAcentral is "bacterial SSU rRNA". It matches the Rfam family "Bacterial small subunit ribosomal RNA", at positions 8 to 1010 of the family's 1533-position model. The record is from RNAcentral.
AGAGUUUGAUCCUGGCUCAGAAUGAACGUUGGCGGCGUGGAUUAGGCAUGCAAGUCGUACGGUAAGCUUCGGCUUAUAGUGGCGAAAGGGAGAGUAACGCGUGGUUACAUGCCCUCGGGACCGGGAUAGCGGCGGGAAACUGCCGGUAAUACCGGAUAAUAUCUUUGGAUCAAAGGUGUGAUUCCGCCCGAGGAUUGGACCGCGUUCUAUUAGCUUGUUGGCGGGGUAAUGGCCCACCAAGGCGACGAUGGAUACCGGGUGUGAGAGCAUGGCCCGGCUCACUGGGACUGAGACACUGCCCAGACACCUACGGGUGGCUGCAGUCGAGAAUCUUCGGCAAUGGGGGCAACCCUGACCGAGCGACGCCGCGUGCGGGACGAAGGCCUUCGGGUUGUAAACCGCUGUCAGUUGGGAGGAAGUGCCGGGGGGUUCUCCCCUCGGUUUGACCGAUCUUCAGAGGAAGGACGGGCUAAGUUCGUGCCAGCAGCCGCGGUAAGGCGAACCGUCCAAACGUUAUUCGGUAUCACUGGGCUUAAAGCGUGCGUAGGCGGCCUGGUAGGUGAGGUGUGAAAGCCCACGGCUCAACCGUGGAAUUGCGCUUCAAACCACCAGGCUGGAGGAUGGCAGGGGUGAUGGGAACUGAUGGUGGAGCGGUGAAAUGCGUUGAUAUCAUCAGGAACACCGGUGGCGAAGGCGCAUCACUGGGCCAUUUCUGACGCUGAGGCACGAAAGCUAGGGUAGCGAACGGGAUUAGAUACCCCGGUAGUCCUAGCUGUAAACGAUGAGCACUGGGUUGAGGGGACCUCCACAUCUUCUCGGCCGUAGCGAAAGCGUUAAGUGCUCCGCCUGGGGAGUAUGGCCGCAAGGCUGAAACUCAAAGGAAUUGACGGGGGCUCACACAAGCGGUGGAGGAUGUGGCUUAGUUCGAGGCUACGCGAAGAACCUUAUCCUAGACUUGACAUGCUUAAGAAUCUUCUGGAAACAGA